RNAcentral lists this long non-coding RNA (320 nucleotides) under Capsicum annuum. RNAcentral describes it as "long non-coding RNA (CANN_LNC021392)". Lineage: Eukaryota; Viridiplantae; Streptophyta; Magnoliopsida; Solanales; Solanaceae. The record is from RNAcentral.
UGUGAGAUUGUGUAAAUUGAUAUUGAUAAUGCUUGUUUAUGUUUAUGUUGGAUCGGGUACCAUGCCGGUACGGAUAUGUUUAUGUUGGAUCGGGCACUACGCCGGUUCGGAUAUGUAAAUGUUGGAUCAGGUACUACGCUGGUUCGGAUAUGUAAAUAUUGGAUCGGGUACCACGCUGGUAUGGUAUAUGAACAUAGAUUGUUCCCUGCAGGUCAUGACUAUUUAGGCAAAAAUAAGUCCCAUAGCAUGUGAGUACAUACUUGUGUUGAUUUUGUGGAUGUUUACCGUAUGGUUGAUACUCUUGAUAGUUAUGAGGCUUA